This 236-nucleotide unclassified non-coding RNA is filed under the name uncultured fungus. RNAcentral's name for it is "partial contains 5.8S ribosomal RNA, internal transcribed spacer 2, and large subunit ribosomal RNA". Lineage: Eukaryota; Fungi. The record is from RNAcentral.
AACGCACAUUGCGCCCCUUGGUAUUCCAUGGGGCAUGCCUGUUCGAGCGUCAUUUGUACCUUCAAGCUUUGCUUGGUGUUGGGUGUUUGUCCCGCGGGACUCGCCUUAAAGUAAUUGGCAGCCAGUGUUUGGUUUUGAAGCGCAGCACAAGUCGCGAUUCAAGGCUACACGCCCGCUUCCACAAGCCUUUUUUCACUUUUGACCUCGGAUCAGGUAGGGAUACCCGCUGAACUUAA